AUGUAUAUGUAAUGUAAUUAUAUGAUUAUAUAGCGUGGCAUUGCGAAGCCUUGGGACGGCACCGCUGCUGAGAAUAUGUUUCUGUGUAACGAUCAAUCGCACAACAUCAAUCGUACAAGUUCUAAAAACUAUUUAAAGAACCAAAUAUUAUGAUUAAUGAGUGGUCGAGUUGAUUGUCUUCCGUCUCUUUCGUAGGGCAUUGCUGUCUCGCUCGGACGAUUAUCAACUAACCACAAUACUAUAUCUAUGUGUAAUUUAUUGAAUGAGGAUUAUUUCAAUGUGGAUGCUAAGUUAUAAUUUUAAUAUGUAAUUGUAUUAAAUAAGUCACCCGUUUUAAUGUAUAGAUAAUGGAGAUUCCUUUUAUAGAUCUCUCAUGGAUCAAAAAUUAAUUGAUAAUUUCAUAUUUUCAUCAAUUUUGAAAUGACACAGCGUUCAUUUAGAAUAAUUUAGAUGUUUCAGUACUUUUUUCUACUGAAUUUUGAAGGUAGAUUCGUGGAUGUCGUGUCGGUUCAAAAUAAUAAGAUAUUAUUUUAUAUUUCCAAAAUGAAACAUUGUAAUUUACACUUUGACAUAAUGCAAUAUAUUAAUUUAUCAAUGUCACUCACUGUUAUUUUUUAUAUCUCACUAAAAGGAAAAAUGGCGAUUAAUAAAUGGCAUAUAAUAAUAUAGUGUUGUCUAAAAUAUCCAUUAAAAAUCCUAUUAAGUAUAUUACUUAAAUAUUUACUGACUUCAUGAUGGUCUAAAAGGGACUCUAACGCAUUCGUGUAAAGUUUAUAAUCCUUCAACAUUUUUAUCGGCCAAUGUGACAUAAUUUCUAAGGA
Long non-coding RNA from Cydia amplana, 821 nucleotides. RefSeq lists it as uncharacterized. The transcript has 2 exons. Lineage: Eukaryota; Metazoa; Arthropoda; Insecta; Lepidoptera; Tortricidae. The record is from RefSeq and is a predicted model, not a curated record.